AAAAUGUAUAAAUGAAAAAGUAUAUUUAUUUUGAACUUCUCUACUCACUGAACUAUCAACUCAUAUAUUUUUCCACGUUUUUUCUUUCCAGACAGCAGUUGAGUAUUUGUGCAUCUUUCGGAGUUGAGCCUUUGAUUUUGGAGUCAGUGCCACACGACAAAGUUUGUUAGUAUGACUCACUUCAUAGAGUAUGUAGUCAGUAUUUUGAGACACAUGUUCAUGUUUAGAAGUGAUUUUGCAUCACUUAUAAAUGGUUAAGGGGCUCAUUAUGUAUUUUGUAUCUACAUGUAUAUUUCAUGUUAUUUUUUGGUAAAAAUUGAGAUUUCGACUUAUCUCUAUUGUGUUGUGUUAUAAGUUGGAAUUUGUGUGCAAUUGAUCACAUGUUGGUUAGUUUUGUUUAUAAGGGAG
RNAcentral lists this long non-coding RNA (408 nucleotides) under Olea europaea subsp. europaea. The record is from RNAcentral. Lineage: Eukaryota; Viridiplantae; Streptophyta; Magnoliopsida; Lamiales; Oleaceae.